Molecule: ribosomal RNA, 2010 nt
Filed under: Triticum aestivum (bread wheat)
Lineage: Eukaryota; Viridiplantae; Streptophyta; Magnoliopsida; Poales; Poaceae
Description: partial small subunit ribosomal RNA
Source: RNAcentral
AUGGCAAUGCAGACGGGCUGCUGCUCGGCGGCGCCGGCGGUCCUCCUCCUCCUGGUGGUUGCCGCGGCCGGUGCGUCGGUGGCCGGGGCAACGUAUGUCAGGUACAAAGACCACAAGCAGCCGAUCCAGGCGCGCGUGGAGGAUCUCCUCGGCCGGAUGAGGAUCGAGGAGAAGAUCGGGCAGAUGACGCAGAUCGAGCGCCACAACGCCUCCUCCGCCGUCAUCGAGAAGUACUUCGUCGGGAGCGUGCUGAGCGGUGGCGGCAGCGCUCCGUCGGAGAAGGCGUCGGCGGCGACGUGGCAGGAGAUGAUCACCAAGAUGCAGAAGGCGGCGCUCAGCACCCGCCUCGGCAUCCCCAUCCUCUACGGCAUCGACGCCGUGCAUGGCAACAACAACGCCUACAACGCCACCAUCUUCCCCCACAACGUCGGCCUCGGCGCCACCAGGGACCCCGACCUGGUCAAGCGCAUCGGCCGCGCCACGGCGCUCGAGGCCAGGGCCACCGGCAUCCCCUACACCUUCGCGCCAUGCGUCGCGGUUUGCCGUGAUCCGAGGUGGGGCGGGUGCUACGAGAGCUUCAGCGAGGACACGAAGCUGGUGCAGCUGAUGACGUCGGCCGUCAUCCCCGGCCUGCAGGGCGACGUCUCCAGCAAGCAUCCCAGGGGCGUCCCCUUCGUGGGCGGGACCAAGCACGUGGCAGCCUGCGCCAAGCACUUCGUCGGCGACGGCGGGACGCACCACGGGAUAAGCGCCAACAACACGGUGCUCAGCUUCCACGACCUCAUGCGGAUCCACAUGCCGCCCUACUACGACGCCGUCAUCAAGGGCGUCUCCUCCGUCAUGAUCUCCUACUCCAGCUGGAACGGCGUCAAGAUGCACGAGAACAAGUACCUCAUCACCCAGAUCCUCAAGGAAAAGAUGCACUUCAGGGGCUUUGUGAUCACGGACUGGCAGGCGGUGGACAAGAUCACCACCCCGCCGCACAAGCACUACUACCACUCCAUCCAGGAGACCAUCCACGCCGGCAUCGACAUGGUCAUGAUCCCAUUCGACUACCCCGAGUUCGUCGCCGACGUCCAGGCCCAGGUCAUGCGCGGCGCUAUCAAGAUGGACCGCAUCAACGACGCCGUCUCCCGCAUCCUCAGGGUCAAGUUCGCCAUGGGCCUCUUCGAGAACCCCUUCCCCGAACACAGCCUCACCGGCCAGCUCGGCAGCAAGGAGCACCGGGAGCUCGCCAGGGAGGCCGUCAGGAAGUCCCUCGUGCUGCUCAAGAACGGCAAAGGCAGGAAAGACGGCAAGCCCGUCCUCCCGCUCUCCAAGAAGGCCAAGAAGAUCCUCGUCGUUGGCACCCACGCCCACGACCUCGGCCUCCAGUGCGGCGGCUGGACCAAGUCCUGGCAGGGUCAGUCCGGCAACGGCAUCACCGGCCAUGGUACCUACUUACCUCCAUCGCCUCCUCGUCUUUCUUUCACACAUCUCUUAGUUGUUGACUACUGUACGUACGAAUACGAUGCAGGCACCACCAUUCUUGAGGCCAUCAAGUCGGCGGUGGACAAGAAGACGAUCAUCGACUACUCGGAGCACCCGGACAAGGGCAACGUCUCCAAGAACGAGGACGAGUACGACUACGCUGUGGUGGUGGUGGGCGAGCACCCGUACGCCGCCGCGGCCGGCGACAACCUGAACCUCACCAUCCCGGGCCCGGGCCCGGAGGUCAUCAGGAAGGUGUGCGAGCUCGUCAAGUGCGUCGUCGUCCUCGUCUCGGGCCGUCCGCUCGUCGUCGAGCCAUACCUCGACACCAUGGACGCGCUCGUCGCCGCCUGGCUGCCCGGCACCGAGGGCCACGGCGUCGCCGACGUGCUCUUUGGGGACCACGGAUUCUCCGGCAAGCUGCCCCGGACGUGGGUCAGGUCCGUCGACCAGCUGCCCAUGAACUACGGCGACAAGCUCUACGACCCGCUCUUCCCCUUCGGAUUCGGACUCACCACCAAGCCAGCGGAUCGCAGCUAG